AGAGUUUGAUCCUGGCUCAGAUUGAACGCUGGCGGCAUGCCUUACACAUGCAAGUCGAACGGGGUAGCAAUACCCUAGUGGCGAACGGGUGAGUAAAGCAUCGGAACGUACCCAGUCGUGGGGGAUGACGUAGCGAAAGUUACGCUAAUACCGCAUACGAUCUGAGGAUGAAAGCAGGGGACUCGCAAGAGCCUCGCGCGAUUGGAGCGGCCGAUGUCGGAUUAGCUAGUUGGUGGGGUAAAAGCCUACCAAGGCGACGAUCCGUAGCUGGUCUGAGAGGAUGAUCAGCCACACUGGGACUGAGACACGGCCCAGACUCCUACGGGAGGCAGCAGUGGGGAAUUUUGGACAAUGGGGGAAACCCUGAUCCAGCCAUGCCGCGUGAGUGAAGAAGGCCUUCGGGUUGUAAAGCUCUUUCAGACGGAAAGAAAUGGUCCCCUUGGCUAAUACCCGAGAUCGAUGACGGUACCGUAAGAAGAAGCACCGGCUAACUACGUG
This 498-nucleotide ribosomal RNA is filed under the name uncultured Uliginosibacterium sp. Its description in RNAcentral is "bacterial SSU rRNA". It matches the Rfam family "Bacterial small subunit ribosomal RNA", at positions 8 to 507 of the family's 1533-position model. The record is from RNAcentral. Lineage: Bacteria; Pseudomonadati; Pseudomonadota; Betaproteobacteria; Rhodocyclales; Zoogloeaceae.